AACCGAAAACUUUUAUGUCUAGAAUGGUGCGUUGAUAGAACAUUCCCAUUAACUGAUACUACACCAGAGCGAUAAACAUUCUCUACGGUGACCCAUGGAACCCAGAGGAAUUGGACGCCGAGAUGGUUUAAUAUUCGCAAAUCAUUCAAAUCAACCGGCACAAAUUCUAACUACGGCAAACCAUUUAGCAACGGCGAAACCGUUGAAAUAACAAAGAAAUUAGCAACCAAAGGUAAUGGCGACCAGCAAGGUCAACAGCACUCCUCAUCCAAAAAAGGAGGCUGGCUAACAUGGCGUGGUGUUUUUCUCAAAUGGACACCACUGGGCUUGUGCUUGGUAGCCGCUGCCCAAUGGACAAUGAUUAACGAUGGGCCGAAUGGCAAAGGGCAACCGAGAACCGCUACCGCAUGGCAGACAAAUAUUUAUUGCUCGCUGCCACUCAGACUGAUUAGUCGAGGAUGGGGUUGGCUAGCUGAUUGUCGUGUUCCGAUACCCAUUCGGCCUAUAGUUUAUGGAUGCUAUUCAACGGCAUUCGGUGUAAAUAUCGAAGAAGCUGCUGCGUCCGAUUUCAAGUAAGUAGUCGGCAACCGUAUGGUUAUGGUUCAUACAGAAAUGUAGUAUUUUGACUAUAGAAGUAAAGGAAGACAGUAGUGUACGUCAUUGUAUUUUAAAAUGAUCGUUCGGAAGCAGUUAAGCAUACAUGAAGCAUGCCUACACUGAACGUAGAUUUUUUUUUUAUUUAGACAUUUAACUUUAACGAAGAAAACGUAAAAUUAACAAAUUCUUACAGUUUGUGAUGAGUCAGGUAAAUUAAAUGGCAUUUUUUUGUUGGUGUUUGGUGAUUAUAUACUACUGUAAAAUGCACUUUGUUUUGUUUGUUGGUUUUAAUUUUGGGUGACGGUUGUUUUCUACAUUAGUUUACAAAUCUUCUCUGUCUUGUCAUUGAAAUGGAUUAUGAGGAAAAGUAUUGAACUUAAUACGAAGAAAAGUCUGCUUAAGUUUUAUUAUCCGGGGAGGAGCUAACUCCUCUCCAGCUUUCGUUCUUCGUUUCAAUAUUUCAUAGAAAUCUGCUCUAACCUACCUCAUGCCUUCAUGAUUCAUUUCUCAAAUCAAGACAGAGUCAAAAAUUAAACUGAACCCACAUUGGACAGUUGAUUCGAUAACUAACAAAGGAACAGUUACCAUUCCUUUUCCUAUUAACGUAUCAACUCACUCAUUUUCACCGUUAUUUUUAUUUGCAUCACUACCAUAAACUAACUCCAAUCCAACUCUACCAUUUAGAAAGUAUCGAAGCAUAGCAGAGUUCUUCACACGAUCGUUGAAAGAAGAUGCUCGAACUAUCGACACUAAUAGUUGUUUAGUAUCACCAGCUGACGGAAGAGUAUUACAUUUUGGAUUAGCUACCAACGAACAAGUUGAGCAAGUCAAAGGUGUCACAUACAGUCUUAAAUCAUUCCUAGGACCAGCCAACUGGGAGAAUAAGUCUAGUCCAACUUAUGUGGACACUAUACGAAUAAGGGAUGAUGAGGAAACUGCCAUCUAUCAAUGCAUCAUAUAUCUUGCACCUGGUGAUUACCAUCGUUUCCAUUCGCCAACAAAAUGGACACCGAAGUUGAGACGUCACUUUUCCGGUGAAUUGCUGUCAGUCAGUCCGAAGAUUGCCCACUGGCUACCUGGAUUGUUUAGUUUAAAUGAAAGGGCACUGUACUUAGGUAGAUGGCAACAUGGAUUUUUUAGUUUUGCCGCUGUCGGUGCGACAAAUGUUGGCUCCAUUCAGAUUUACAUGGAUGAGAGCUUGCAAACCAACAAAUGGCAUGGUUUCAAAGUGGGAAAACUUAACAAAACGGAACAUUUUGAUGAGAUCGAACUACCACAAGAUACGAUAUUAGAAAAAGGCCAACUGCUCGGUCAAUUUAAUAUGGGCAGCACAGUAGUUUUGAUAUUUGAAGCUCCAAAGUAUUUUAAAUUUUUCGUCGAACAAGGACAAACAAUUAAAAUGGGCGAGCCGCUUGGUUGUACGAAAAAUCGUAGAAAUUUUGAUGAAAUCAAAAAUGAGAUCGCUGCCGCUUCUUAACCGUUACCAAAAACUCAUUUUUUAGAGAUAUUGCGUAGAUUUGCUGACAAUACGGCCAACUUUAAAUAUUUUUCACAUUUUUAAAGAACUUAGAGAGACCGUUUUGUAUGAACUAAAAACUAGGUUAAGUUGUUUGUAGUGCAUAUUGCACAGAGAAAUCUAUUUAAUCGAGGUCGCCAUCAAUGUUCCACUAUUCACGAUUGAUAAGAAAUGAAUUUGGUGGACAUUGAUGAACCGGAUGGAAGAGAGUUGCCUAUAAAAUAAAAGAAAUUUUAGUUAACGCAUGAUGUGUGAUAAUACCUGCUCAUGUAAAACAACGUUCUAAUAAAGAUGAAAAGUACAAAACUGAAAAA
Unclassified non-coding RNA from Bradysia coprophila, 2427 nucleotides. NCBI's taxonomy places the organism in Eukaryota, Metazoa, Arthropoda, Insecta, Diptera, Sciaridae. The record is from RefSeq and is a predicted model, not a curated record.